ACUUAGCAUAUCAAUACGCGGAGGAAAAGAAACUAACAAGGAUUCCCCUAGUAACUGCGAGUGAAGCGGGAUGAGCUCAAAUUUAAAAUCUGGCGUCUUCGGCGUCCGAGUUGUAAUUUAGAGAAGUGUUUUCCGCGCCGGACCGUGUACAAGUCUCCUGGAACGGAGCGUCAUAGAGGGUGAGAAUCCCGUCUUUGACACGGACCCCCGGUGCUCUGUGAUACGCUCUCGAAGAGUCGAGUUGUUUGGGAAUGCAGCUCAAAAUGGGUGGUGAACUCCAUCUAAAGCUAAAUAUUGGCGAGAGACCGAUAGCGAACAAGUACCGUGAGGGAAAGAUGAAAAGCACUUUGGAAAGAGAGUGAAAUAGUACGUGAAAUUGUUGAAAGGGAAACGCUUGAAGUCAGUCGCCGUCCGCCGGGAUUCAGCCUUACGGUGUACUUUCCGGUGGACGGGCCAGCAUCACUUUCAAUCAUCGGAAAAGGGCGAGGGGGAAUGUGGGCACCUCCGGGUGUGUUAUAGCCCUUUGUCGUAUACGGUGACUGGGAGUGAGGACCGCCUUUGUAGGAUGCUGGCGUAAUGGCUUUAAACGACCCGUCUUGAAACACGGACCAAGGAGUCUAACAUGCCCGCGAGUGUUUGGGUGGAAAACCCAUGCCGCGUAAUGAAAGUGAAAGUUGGGAAGGCUAUCGUGGCCUGCACCGACGCCCGGACUUGAGAUUUAUCGAAGGUUCUGCGGUAGAGCGUGUAUGUUGGGACCCGAAAGAUGGUGAACUAUGCCUGAAUAGGGUGAAGCCAGAGGAAACUCUGGUGGAGGCUCGUAGCGAUUCUGACGUGCAAAUCGAUCGUCAAAUUUGGGUAUAGGGGCGAAGGACUAAUCGAAACCAUCUAGUAGCUGGGUUCCUGCCGAAGU
Molecule: ribosomal RNA, 910 nt
Filed under: Peniophora incarnata
Lineage: Eukaryota; Fungi; Basidiomycota; Agaricomycetes; Russulales; Peniophoraceae
Description: LSU rRNA
Rfam family: Eukaryotic large subunit ribosomal RNA
Source: RNAcentral